UGAAAUUCGUGGUGACAAGACGUGUGACAUCGGUAGAAGUGCUUAAUUGUAUUAUUGUUUGAUUGAUAAUUUCGAAACUGUGAGAGCUUAUUCAUAUUUAAUGAUAAUUGAAAAUCCGAAGAUUUUUCUACGAAUAAGAAAAUUAACGGUUGACGUUCGUGCCAUAUUCGACAUGUUUCGACUUGUUGUUACGCUCCCCUCUCCAAUUUCUAAUUCGAUAAUCGAAAUUUCGGCGCGAGGUGUCAUUCUAUUAUCGAAAGUCGUAGAAAUUAGACGCUUUAUUUCAGGUUAGUAGCUGAUUACUGAUCUUUUUCAAGGCGGGAAAAAUUCCAAUAUUCAACAAUCAAUUUGAUGCUGACUUUUUAUGAAUUUUUC
This is a long non-coding RNA of Apis cerana (Asiatic honeybee), 375 nucleotides long. RefSeq lists it as uncharacterized. The record is from RefSeq and is a predicted model, not a curated record. Lineage: Eukaryota; Metazoa; Arthropoda; Insecta; Hymenoptera; Apidae.